GAGACCUAUUAAGAAUAGAAUUUCUUGUAGGCUUUGUGACCAGGGGGAUUAGCGCUGCUUUCCCAAGACAGGUUUUUAUGUGUAUGAUCUUCAGGCUUUGCCUAUCCAGGUUGGCUGGCCGGUGCUGACGGGACUGAGCUGAGGCUAGAGAUAAAUUCCUAUGUUAGACUUCCGCUGUAGCAAUUACUCUUAUACAUCUUUUGUUUUCUCAACUUAAGAUGACUUCAUUUGAGCUUCAAUUUAAAAUUUAUAGUUUUAUGUUAAUGAACGUCGGUUGUCAGAAGCAUGAAACAAAACUUGUGAUCCAAAGGGGCCUAGCCUGACUUUCUAUCCUAUUUCGGGUUUUAACAAGGUAUUUCCCUUGUUUAUUUCUAUGAAUUAUUCACACCUCGAUUAUAUUUAUUCCUUCAAGAAUUGGGGUGUGACA
Long non-coding RNA from Salvia miltiorrhiza (redroot sage), 427 nucleotides. RefSeq lists it as uncharacterized. The transcript is spliced from 2 exons. Lineage: Eukaryota; Viridiplantae; Streptophyta; Magnoliopsida; Lamiales; Lamiaceae. The record is from RefSeq and is a predicted model, not a curated record.